This 490-nucleotide ribosomal RNA is filed under the name uncultured bacterium. RNAcentral's name for it is "partial 16S ribosomal RNA". It matches the Rfam family "Bacterial small subunit ribosomal RNA", at positions 30 to 507 of the family's 1533-position model. The record is from RNAcentral.
AUUGAACGCUGGCGGCAGGCCUAACACAUGCAAGUCGAACGGUAACAGGAAGCAGCUUGCUGCUUUGCUGACGAGUGGCGGACGGGUGAGUAAUGUCUGGGAAACUGCCUGAUGGAGGGGGAUAACUACUGGAAACGGUAGCUAAUACCGCAUAACGUCGCAAGACCAAAGAGGGGGACCUUAGGGCCUCUUGCCAUCGGAUGUGCCCAGAUGGGAUUAGCAAGUAGGUGGGGUAACGGCUCACCUAGGCGACGAUCCCUAGCUGGUCUGAGAGGAUGACCAGCCACACUGGAACUGAGACACGGUCCAGACUCCUACGGGAGGCAGCAGUGGGGAAUAUUGCACAAUGGGCGCAAGCCUGAUGCAGCCAUGCCGCGUGUAUGAAGAAGGCCUUCGGGUUGUAAAGUACUUUCAGCGGGGAGGAAGGGAGUAAAGUUAAUACCUUUGCUCAUUGACGUUACCCGCAGAAGAAGCACCGGCUAACUCCGUG